GGGUCUGUAGCCUAGUAGGUAAAGGAAUCACUCUGGUAUGUGAAUCAGCAUUGCUGAGGUUGUGAGUUCAAAUCUCACCAGACACA
This 86-nucleotide transfer RNA is filed under the name Puccinia graminis f. sp. tritici. Its description in RNAcentral is "tRNA-Thr". It matches the Rfam family "tRNA". Rfam says of the family: Transfer RNA (tRNA) molecules are approximately 80 nucleotides in length. The record is from RNAcentral. Lineage: Eukaryota; Fungi; Basidiomycota; Pucciniomycetes; Pucciniales; Pucciniaceae.